RNAcentral lists this ribosomal RNA (433 nucleotides) under uncultured bacterium. Its description in RNAcentral is "partial 16S ribosomal RNA". It matches the Rfam family "Bacterial small subunit ribosomal RNA", at positions 29 to 507 of the family's 1533-position model. The record is from RNAcentral.
AACGAACGCUGGCGGCAUGCCUAACACAUGCAAGUCGAACGAGACCUUCGGGUCUAGUGGCGCACGGGUGCGUAACGCGUGGGAACCUGCCCUUAGGUUCGGAAUAACUCCCCGAAAGGGGUGCUAAUACCGGAUAAUGUCUUCGGACCAAAGAUUUAUCGCCUUUGGAUGGGCCCGCGUUGGAUUAGCUAGUUGGUAGGGUAAAAGCCUACCAAGGCGACGAUCCAUAGCUGGUCUGAGAGGAUGAUCAGCCACACUGGGACUGAGACACGGCCCAGACUCCUACGGGAGGCAGCAGUGGGGAAUAUUGGACAAUGGGCGAAAGCCUGAUCCAGCAAUGCCGUGUGAGUGAUGAAGGCCGUAGGGUUGUAAAGCUCUUUUACCCGGGAUGAUAAUGACAGUACCGGGAGAAUAAGCUCCGGCUAACUCCGUG